This 492-nucleotide ribosomal RNA is filed under the name uncultured bacterium. Its description in RNAcentral is "partial 16S ribosomal RNA". It matches the Rfam family "Bacterial small subunit ribosomal RNA", at positions 29 to 507 of the family's 1533-position model. The record is from RNAcentral.
AGUGAACGCUGGCGGUAGGCCUAACACAUGCAAGUCGAACGGCAGCACAGUAAGAGCUUGCUCUUACGGGUGGCGAGUGGCGGACGGGUGAGGAAUACAUCGGAAUCUACUUUUUCGUGGGGGAUAACGUAGGGAAACUUACGCUAAUACCGCAUACGACCUACGUGUGAAAGCAGGGGAUCUUCGGACCUUGCGCGAUUGAAUGAGCCGAUGUCGGAUUAGCUAGUUGGCGGGGUAAAGGCCCACCAAGGCGACGAUGCGUAGCUGGUCUGAGAGGAUGAUCAGCCACACUGGAACUGAGACACGGUCCAGACUCCUACGGGAGGCCGCAGUGGGGAAUAUUGCACAAUGGGCGAAAGCCUGAUACAGCAAUACCGCGUGAGUGAAGAAGGCCUUCGGGUUGUAAAGCCCUUUUGUUGGGAAAGAAAAGCAGCAGGUUAAUACCCCGCUGUUCUGGCGGUACCCAAAGAAUAAGCACCGGCUAACUUCGUG